UCCGCCUGUUUAUCAAAAACAUGGCUUUCUGAAAAGCAUAGGGAGUCGUGCCUUCCAGUGGGCAUACGAGCCUAAACGGACGCGGUAAAUCGUGCUAAGGUAGCUAAGUUAUGGCCUAUUAAUUGUAGGUCUUGUGAAUGGUUUGACGAGCCUCCAACUGUCCUCUAGGUUGUUUUGGUGAACUUGAGUUGAAUGUGUAAAUGCCUUCGUGGGUAAGAAAGACGAGAAGACCCCGUGAAGUUAAAAAUUUUAGCGUAUGGAGUGUUAUUCCCUGUUGGUGAAGGCUAGAGGGUUAAGGGAUUUGGUUGGUUUCUAAGUGAGGGGGUGUAGUGAAUGGUUUUUGCUGGGGCAGCAAAAGGGCAAAUUUAGACCUUAAUUGUAUUUAAAACGGGUGCGUUACGACCCAUAAUUAAAAAGGUGUGAUUAGCAGAAGGAGUUACUCCGGGGAUAACAGCGUUAUUCGUCCUGAGAGUUCUUAUUGGUGGACGGGUUUGCGACCUCGAUGUUGGCUCUGGAUAUCCUGGGGCUGCAGGCGUCCCAAGGGUUGGUUC
Molecule: ribosomal RNA, 551 nt
Filed under: Placopecten magellanicus (sea scallop)
Lineage: Eukaryota; Metazoa; Mollusca; Bivalvia; Pectinida; Pectinidae
Description: partial 16S ribosomal RNA
Rfam family: Bacterial large subunit ribosomal RNA
Source: RNAcentral